Molecule: ribosomal RNA, 468 nt
Filed under: uncultured bacterium
Lineage: Bacteria
Description: partial 16S ribosomal RNA
Rfam family: Bacterial small subunit ribosomal RNA
Source: RNAcentral
GACGAACGCUGGCGGCGUGCUUAACACAUGCCAGUCGAACGGCAAGGCCCUGCUUUUGUGGGGUGCUCGAGUGGCGAACGGGUGAGUAACACGUGAGUAACCUGCCCUUGACUUUGGGAUAACUUCAGGAAACUGGGGCUAAUACAAGAUAGGAGCUCCUGCUGCAUGGUGAGGGUUGGAACGUUUCGGCUGUUGGGGAUGGACGCGCGGCUUAUCAGCUUGUUGGUGGGGUAGUGGCUUACCAAGGCUUUGACGGGUAGCCGGCCUGGGAGGGUGACCGGCCACAUUGGGACUGCGAUACGGCCCAGACGCCUACGGGAGGCAGCAGGGGGGAAUAUUGCACAAUGGGCGGAAGCCUGAUGCAGCGACGCCGCGUGCGUGAUGACCGCCUUCGGGUUGUAAACCGCUUUCGCCUGUGACGAAGCGUGAGUGACGGUAAUGGGUAAAGAAGCACCGGCUAACUACGUG